UGCAACCUGAGCUCAAUCGNGACUACCCCCUGAACUUAA
Molecule: ribosomal RNA, 39 nt
Filed under: Thallostonema setiferum
Lineage: Eukaryota; Metazoa; Nematoda; Chromadorea; Rhabditida; Strongylidae
Description: partial large subunit ribosomal RNA
Source: RNAcentral